Molecule: ribosomal RNA, 228 nt
Filed under: uncultured bacterium
Lineage: Bacteria
Description: partial 16S ribosomal RNA
Rfam family: Bacterial small subunit ribosomal RNA
Source: RNAcentral
UGAGCAAUCUGCCCUUCUCAUCGGAAUAAGCGUUGGAAACGACGUCUAAUGCCGAAUACGACCUCCUUUCGCAUGAUCGGAGGUGGAAAGCUCCGGCGGAGAAGGAUGAGCUCGCGGCCUAUCAGCUUGUUGGUGAGGUAAUGGCUCACCAAGGCAUUGACGGGUAGCCGGCCUGAGAGGGUGACCGGCCACACUGGGACUGAGACACGGCCCAGACUCUACGGGAGG